This 88-nucleotide transfer RNA is filed under the name Candidatus Latescibacterota bacterium. Its description in RNAcentral is "tRNA-Leu". It matches the Rfam family "tRNA". From Rfam's summary of the family: Transfer RNA (tRNA) molecules are approximately 80 nucleotides in length. Their secondary structure includes four short double-helical elements and three loops (D, anti-codon, and T loops). Further hydrogen bonds mediate the characteristic L-shaped molecular structure. tRNAs have two regions of fundamental functional importance: the anti-codon, which is responsible for specific mRNA codon recognition, and the 3' end, to which the tRNAs corresponding amino acid is attached (by aminoacyl-tRNA synthetases). tRNAs cope with the degeneracy of the genetic code in two manners: having more than one tRNA (with a specific anti-codon) for a particular amino acid; and 'wobble' base-pairing, i.e. permitting non-standard base-pairing at the 3rd anti-codon position. Lineage: Bacteria; Pseudomonadati; Candidatus Latescibacterota. The record is from RNAcentral.
GCCGAAGUGGCGGAAUUGGUAGACGCACUGGACUCAAAAUCCAGCUCCGCUUUGCGGAGUGAGGGUUCGACUCCCUCCUUCGGCACCA